RNAcentral lists this non-coding RNA (104 nucleotides) under Dinoroseobacter shibae. Its description in RNAcentral is "TPP sequence". It matches the Rfam family "TPP riboswitch aptamer (THI element)". Rfam says of the family: Vitamin B(1) in its active form thiamin pyrophosphate (TPP) is an essential coenzyme that is synthesised by coupling of pyrimidine and thiazole moieties in bacteria. The previously detected thiamin-regulatory element, thi box was extended, resulting in a new, highly conserved RNA secondary structure, the THI element, which is widely distributed in eubacteria and also occurs in some archaea. RNAcentral also lists the same sequence under 1 other name. The record is from RNAcentral. Lineage: Bacteria; Pseudomonadati; Pseudomonadota; Alphaproteobacteria; Rhodobacterales; Roseobacteraceae.
CAACAACCGUUGGGGUGCCCGAUUCAGGGCUGAGAGGCGCACUGUGCCGACCCAUGGAACCUGAUCCGGGCAAUACCGGCGUAGGGAACGGUCAUCGUGGCAAU